AACGAACGCUGGCGGCGUGCCUAACACAUGCAAGUCGAACGAGAAAGGGGCUUCGGCUCCGAGUAAAGUGGCGCACGGGUGAGUAACACGUAGGUAACCUGCCUCUAAGAUUGGGAUAACCUGUCGAAAGACGAGCUAAUACCGAAUAAGACCACAGCUUCCUCAGAAGCAGGGGUCAAAGGUAGCCUCUACUUGUAAGCUAUCACUUAGAGAUGGGCCUGCGUACCAUUAGCAGUUGGUGGGGUAACGGCCUACCAAGGCGAAGAUGGUUAGCUGGUCUGAGAGGAUGAUCAGCCACACUGGAACUGAGACACGGUCCAGACUCCUACGGGAGGCAGCAGUGGGGAAUAUUGCGCAAUGGGCGAAAGCCUGACGCAGCAACGCCGCGUGAGUGAUGAAGGCUUUCGGGUCGU
This 413-nucleotide ribosomal RNA is filed under the name uncultured bacterium. RNAcentral's name for it is "bacterial SSU rRNA". It matches the Rfam family "Bacterial small subunit ribosomal RNA", at positions 29 to 426 of the family's 1533-position model. The record is from RNAcentral.